Molecule: ribosomal RNA, 407 nt
Filed under: uncultured bacterium
Lineage: Bacteria
Description: bacterial SSU rRNA
Rfam family: Bacterial small subunit ribosomal RNA
Source: RNAcentral
GUGGGGAAUAUUGGGCAAUGGGCGAAAGCCUGACCCAGCAACGCCGCGUGGAGGAAGAAGGUUUUCGGAUCGUAAACUCCUGUCCUAAGAGACGAGGAAGAGACGGUAUCUUAGGAGGAAGCCCCGGCUAACUACGUGCCAGCAGCCGCGGUAAUACGUAGGGGGCAAGCGUUGUCCGGAAUGAUUGGGCGUAAAGGGCGCGUAGGCGGCUCGGUAAGUCUGGAGUGAAAGUCCUGGCUUUAAGUUGGGAAUUGCUUUGGAUACUGUCGGGCUUGAGUGCAGGAGAGGUUAGUGGAAUUCCCAGUGUAGCGGUGAAAUGCGUAGAGAUUGGGAGGAACACCAGUGGCGAAGGCGACUAACUGGACUGUAACUGACGCUGAGGCGCGAAAGUGUGGGGAGCAAACAGG